ACUUUCGGGUAUCCUAGAGCGGCGCACGGGUGCGUAACGCGUAUGCAACUUACCCUAUACUGGGGGAUAGCCCGGGGAAACCCGGAUUAAUACCCCAUGGCAUCAAGGAUUCGCAUGAUGACUUGAUUAAAGAUUUAUUGGUAUAGGAUGGGCAUGCGUCUGAUUAGCUAGUUGGUAGUGUAACGGACUACCAAGGCGACGAUCAGUAGGGGGUCUGAGAGGAUGAUCCCCCACACUGGCACUGAGAUACGGGCCAGACUCCUACGGGAGGCAGCAGUAGGGAAUAUUGGUCAAUGGGCGAGAGCCUGAACCAGCCACGCCGCGUGAAGGAUGAAGGCGUUCUGCGUUGUAAACUUCUUUUAUAGGGGAAGAAAAAGCUCAUGCGUGAGCAACUGACGGUACCCUAUGAAUAAGCACCGGCUAACUCCGUGCCAGCAGCCGCGGUAAUACGGAGGGUGCAAGCGUUGUCCGGAUUUAUUGGGUUUAAAGGGUGCGUAGGCGGGUUAUUAAGUCAGUGGUGAAAGCCGGCAGCUCAACUGUCGAACUGCCAUUGAUACUGAUAGUCUUGAGUAUAGUUGAGGUAGGCGGAAUGGAAGGUGUAGCGGUGAAAUGCAUAGAUAUCUUCCAGAACACCGAUAGCGUAGGCAGCUUACUAAGCUAUAACUGACGCUGAGGCACGAAAGCGUGGGGAGCGAACAGGAUUAGAUACCCUGGUAGUCCACGCCGUAAACGAUGUACACUCGCUGUUGG
Molecule: ribosomal RNA, 750 nt
Filed under: uncultured Bacteroidota bacterium
Lineage: Bacteria; Pseudomonadati; Bacteroidota
Description: bacterial SSU rRNA
Rfam family: Bacterial small subunit ribosomal RNA
Source: RNAcentral